Molecule: ribosomal RNA, 116 nt
Organism: Otolemur garnettii (small-eared galago)
Lineage: Eukaryota; Metazoa; Chordata; Mammalia; Primates; Galagidae
Source: Ensembl
GUCUACAGCCAUACCAUCCUGAACGUGCCCAAUCUCAUCUGAUUCCUGAAGCUAAGCAGGAUUGGGCCUGGUGAGUAAUUGGAUGGGAGAAUCAGCAAAUUCUGUGAUAGGAAAUU